UCAAGAACACUUUCCAAGCAAUCAUUAUCUCCCUUUCUUUUUCUUUCUCGCCGACCACCCCACCACCACCUUCCACCGUCGCCUGCCGUCACGUCCGACCACCACCAUCCGUCCACCUUAUUCUCUCCAUCCCCGACCAGUAAAUCCAACCCCCACCCUGUUCGACGCCGCAAAACCACUUUUCCAGCCAUCUUUUUUAAUAGAGGCAGAAAAAUCCAGUGACUUUUUCCGGUGAAUCAAAGCUAUUUUCCGGUGAAAUUCCUCCCGUUUUCCGAAAAGAAAAUUCCAGUGAGUUCCCGUCUUUGUUCCGGCCGUAUCUCAACUUAUUCGAUGGUGAAUCUCUGCCUGCUCAUUCUUACCCAAAACCAAUAAACUCAAAGCACGUUUCAAUGGUGAGUUUCACUACCGCAUUUAUACAAAUUUACUGUUUUCAGGGGACAAUACAUUUUAAACGAUAUAUAGUUUUUGUAAUCUCAGUUUGAUAAUUAUCGUUUAUUAUAAACUGAAAUCGUUAUAUAUUCGUUAUUAUAACCGUCACUAAAAUUGUCACGUUUAUAUAACAACGAUAAAUGAUAUUAUUGGAAUCAUUCAUUUAUAUAACGAUAAAUGGUAUUAUUGGAAUCAUUGUUUUAAAGCUUGGAUAUUAGUUUUGCAUUGUCGUUACUCUCCUCCUAUGAUAUGGAUAUUUAUUAUACUUUGUCGUUACUCUAUCCAUAUAAUAUGAAUAUUUAUUAAACCAUGUCGUUAUUCUGACUGUAUAAUAUGAAUAUUUAUUAUACUCUAUUGUUAAGAUGUCUAUAUAAUAUGUAUAUUUAUUAUACUUUGUCGUUACGCUGCCUAUUAAAUUUUUACAAGAUAAUUAAAUGAUAUAAUUAUAAAACAUUAUCAUAAUUAUACAACACAAAAAUUGUCUUACUUGAACUUAGAAAGCUAUGGCUAUAAUUUUUUUAGUGUAAUUCACUCAAUGGGUUAUAUGAGAGACAAUCAUGAUCUAAGUUUAAUACUAAGACUCCGAAUUAUAAUCGUUAAAUCUUAAGUGAGCGAAAUAGUUAUGUAUAGAUCUAUAUGGGCUGACACCCCCACAUAUGGUUGUUAUCUACAACCAUAACGGUCAAGUCAUAAGUGAUAAUUGUCUAAACAAUACGACGUCCAAUGAAGCGUCAUGAGAGGCAAUAAAUCGUCAACAACUCGAUUACAUGAACUCAUGGUAACAUUGAUAAACGCGCCUAAAAGCAAAUGCAUAUAUAAGUUGAAACAAUACUUAUAUACAGUAAAACGCUACUUUUGGAUAAAAGUACACAUAUUUAUAUAAGUUAGAAUUACUUAUAUACAAUAAAACUCUACUUUGGACAAAAGUACACAUAUUUAUAUAAGUUAAUAAUACUUAUAUGCGAUAAAACAAUUACUUUUAGUAUGAAAAAUACACUUGUAACGACAUAUUUUUUAUUGAGAAAAUACAUUUUUAACGAACAUACUUUCAGUUGAGAACGUAUGUUUCUAGUAAACAUACUUUUGAUAUAAAAAGUACAUACAUAUAAGUUUGGAAAUACUUUUAUACGAUGAAAACAUAUACUUUUGCUAAAAAGUACAUACCAUUUAAACUUUAAGAAGAUGUCAACUCACUAACUUUAUGUUGACGCUUUUAAAAUCACAUGUAUUCUUGGGGAACUAAAAGUCAGACACAUAUCAUCUUUUGGAACAAUCAUGGACUCGUAGGCGUAUUGUUUUAUCAUUUUUGUUUAUUCAAACUGCCUAAUUGUUAAGGUAGCGUUUGUACCUUAAUUAUUAGCAUCUCAAAAGUUAAUAUGAUAUGUAAUAUUUUAUUUUGUAAUAGUAGUGAUAUUUAUGUUAUAAUUUUUUGUAUUGUUCAAUGUAAUCAAUAUCUGUAAUCCAUGAUGACGUUGCACAACCUCAUGUUUCUACCGGCUGACGGGGGUGUGACAUAUUACACCAAAAAUCACUUUAUAAAAGCAUGUAAAUAAAAUAUGCCUUUUUAAACCACCUACAUCACUAGCAUGCCUUCCCAAAUUCUAAGAUAAACAUGUUAUUCUAGAAUUAUCGCAUGCAUAUGCUUCACACUUUAAUCAUCGAAUAUAAUUCUCACCUCUGGCAUGAACCUAACCACCAAUUUCAUGCAAACAAAUCAUAUCAUGGUGUCUAGCAUAUAAAUUCACCUAGUUAAAUUGAUCAUAGAGAAACAAUAAAAUCUAAUAGCCCAGACUUCCUGUAUAAUCAUAAUAUAACAUCACAUACAAAGUCCUGUACCAAUAGACUUGUACUAACACAUGUAAGCCUCCAUAAUUUGUACUAGAUAACCAUAAGAAUGACCCGCCUCUAAUCCCGAAUGAAAUGAACUAGGAAUGGAGGAAAUCAACCCUUCAGCAAACAAUCAAACAACCUACAACAUAUUAUCACAAUCCGGAUUAGAAAUGACACCAAAACAAACAACAAAACUGCAAUUUUCAAGUCAUCAGGCGCGCUGCACUAAGGGUAGGGCGCUUUGUGUGGAAUGACCGCAGAAGAAUCAGAAGGAAAAGAUAAGUGCUAAGGCG
This 2552-nucleotide long non-coding RNA is filed under the name Lactuca sativa (garden lettuce). RNAcentral describes it as "long non-coding RNA (LSAT_LNC006801)". The record is from RNAcentral. Lineage: Eukaryota; Viridiplantae; Streptophyta; Magnoliopsida; Asterales; Asteraceae.